UUAAGAAGAUUGAACCACUGACGAUAGAUGAACUUAAUGAGUACGUCAUAAAGCUGCUCCUCAGGUAUAAAGAUCAACCUAAGAUAUCAUUCGUAACUAUACUGUAGCGGUUCAUUUGCAAGGAAAUUGAACCGUGGGUUUUCAUCUUUCACAUGUGCUUUUUGCAAUAAGGAGGACACUGUUGGAGUUGUUAGGGGGGGGGAGGGAAAUGACAACCCAACUGAUGAUUUUCCAGGUGCUGGAGCAGUGAAAAUAAGCCAUAUUGAUGGCCUUAAGGGCACUGCCGUGGAGGAUGGUGGCUUUGUUCCUUACGGUGAUGCAGCAGGUGGGACUGGUGAGCCAGUUGAUCCAAAUAAGACCUCUGUUGAUGGAAGGUCCAAAAGCGAGGAUGGAACAGAGCAUGAAAGUGGGUAGCUAUGGAAAGAAGCCAUGCACUGAGUAAUUCCUGAAAUACAAGGGAAACUUAAAUUACAAGUGCUGCAGGCAUGUCCGUAGCAUCAGUUUUUAAAUAAAUUUCAAACACUACGAAGUACGAAGUCAGGCUACUUUUCAUAUUUUGGAUAUUUGGUUCUGUUAGUUUAUUUUUCUUACAAUUCAACUCUAUUAAUAAGCAAUUCAUGCUUACAUCAUCCUUCA
Long non-coding RNA from Brassica rapa (field mustard), 636 nucleotides. RefSeq lists it as uncharacterized. The record is from RefSeq and is a predicted model, not a curated record. NCBI's taxonomy places the organism in Eukaryota, Viridiplantae, Streptophyta, Magnoliopsida, Brassicales, Brassicaceae.